This 492-nucleotide ribosomal RNA is filed under the name uncultured bacterium. Its description in RNAcentral is "partial 16S ribosomal RNA". It matches the Rfam family "Bacterial small subunit ribosomal RNA", at positions 29 to 507 of the family's 1533-position model. The record is from RNAcentral.
AGUGAACGCUGGCGGUAGGCCUAACACAUGCAAGUCGAACGGCAGCACAGUAAGAGCUUGCUCUUACGGGUGGCGAGUGGCGGACGGGUGAGGAAUACAGCGGAAUCUACUUUUUCGUGGGGGAUAACGUAGGGAAACUUACGCUAAUACCGCAUACGACCUACGGGUGAAAGCAGGGGAUCUUCGGACCUUGCGCGAUUGAAUGAGCCGAUGUCGGAUUAGCUAGUUGGCGGGGUAAAGGCCCACCAAGGCGACGAUCCGUAGCUGGUCUGAGAGGAUGAUCAGCCAGACGGGAACUGAGACACGGUCCAGACUCCUACGGGAGGCAGCAGUGGGGAAUAUUGGACAAUGGGGGCAAGCCUGAUCCAGCCAUACCGCGUGGGUGAAGAAGGCCUUCGGGUUGUAGAGCCCUUUUGUUGGGAAAGAAAAGCAGCAGGUUAAUACCCCGCUGUUCUGACGGUACCCAAAGAAUAAGCACCGGCUAACUUCGUG